Bombus pyrosoma is the source of this 1471-nucleotide long non-coding RNA. RefSeq lists it as uncharacterized. The transcript has 2 exons. Lineage: Eukaryota; Metazoa; Arthropoda; Insecta; Hymenoptera; Apidae. The record is from RefSeq and is a predicted model, not a curated record.
CGUACGAUAGAUAGGUAAUUAGAAAAGUUUAACCGGUGUAUCUGUGCACAUAUGAAAUGAAUAUAUCAGACAAAUUAUCUGGAAUGCCCACAUAAUCGACAGUAAAAUAAAUUUUAGUUUUAACUUCUACGAUUAGAAAUUAUUGUUAAUAAUUAAUGAUCUGAUUAUAAGAGAAUUAAAAGUUUCUUAUAUCUUUAUGUGAAAUAUGCAAAGUAUACAUUAUACAUAUCAAUAUCCUUCACAUACAGAACCUACUUCUAAUUGCAAAUCCUGAUUGCAAUCACAUGUGUAAUGUAUGCUACAUUAUUCAUUUAUAUCGAACUUUAGAAACGUAGGCAACUCAUGGAACUCAUUAAAACCAGUUUUUAGUAAUUUUUUACACGCACACACGCACACGCACGCGCGCGCGCGCACACACACACACACACACACACACACAAAACAUCUCGAUUGGAAUACGAAAUAUUUUUUCCUACUAGUUUGUACCUACAUUUUUUGAAACAAUUAAUUUCUUUUAGAUUACCUAUCAAGUUAUAUAAUAACAUAAAAAUCUGCAUGAAUUGAAUUAAAAUUAAAGUUGCAGUACUCGAAAAUUCAGAUGCCAUUUAUACAAAUAUAUCAUAAACAUUUCCCAAAAAUCUUACUUAACUAAAACAAUACAUACAUAUAUCUGAAAUGAAUAAGUGACAAUUAGAUAACAGCGACGUCGCGUAAUAAAGAUCAAAAGACAAUAAUUUAUUAAUUAAAUAACAAAAAUAAUAAUAUAAAAAUAUUACAAAAUAACAAAAAGACAUUUAAUUAAAAAAACUAAGAAUAAGACAUAUUUCAAAAAUUUAUGUAGAUCACGUGCAAAUGAUAAUGACCGGUGCAAAUAUGACAAUGACAAACUUAUGACAAUAAAUAAAGUAGUUUUUAUUAUCUGUUCGGCGAAAUUAUCGUUUGCCGUUCGUGCACGCGGCAAGCAAGAUAAACCGCGUGUCAAGUACGUAAAAGCUUUGGUACGUCGGAAGCGCAACGUGUGCACGCACCAGCCGUGCUGUGAUAGCGACAAGCGCGAAUUCGAGAAGCCAGACGUUGCGUUACUCGAUCCUAUGUCGCGACCGGUCCCAUCCAGCUUGUUACCAUCGAAAUGCUGAUGCUUUCGAUCGCUUCACUCACAUUGCUACGCGCGUUUCACAUGUGUCGAAUGCGGUCGGACUUAUCGCAGGAACGUUGAUCUUUCAAGCAAGAACACUUGUUUCUUGAUAAAAGAUCACGACAUCCGUUAUAUUGAUACAGCGAAUUAAUGAACUUACUGUCCGAAUUCACCGAGAAUUAUGGCCCCAACUCCUAGUAAAGCUACGGCGAUUAGGAUGUAAGUGGAGAUGCGUGUCUGCAGCCAGGAGGCUCCUACUACCUUCAGCAUGGCUCAUCGGUAAGCUAUACACCUUGGUUACGAGAAGAGAAGAAAGCAGAAAAGCACGAAUUUCGC